RNAcentral lists this ribosomal RNA (253 nucleotides) under uncultured bacterium. RNAcentral's name for it is "partial 16S ribosomal RNA". It matches the Rfam family "Bacterial small subunit ribosomal RNA", at positions 524 to 776 of the family's 1533-position model. The record is from RNAcentral.
UACGUAGGGGGCAAGCGUUGUCCGGAUUCAUUGGGCGUAAAGGGUGCGUAGGCGGCGCGGUAAGUCGGGUGUGAAAUCUCGGAGCUUAACUCCGAAACUGCAUUCGAUACUGCCGUGCUUGAGGACUGGAGAGGAGACUGGAAUUUACGGUGUAGCGGUGAAAUGCGCAGAUAUCAGGAGGAACACCAAUGGCGAAGGCAGCUCGCUGGAACGGAACUGACGCUGAGGCGCGAAAGCGUGGGGAGCAAACAGG